GACGAACGCUGGCGGCGUGCUUAACACAUGCAAGUCGAACGGAAAGGCCCCUUUGGGGGUACUCGAGUGGCGAACGGGCGAGUAACACGUGAGUAACUUGCCCUCGACUUCGGGAUAACUUCAGGAAACUGGGGCUAAUACCGGCUAGGAAUCCUUUCUUCAUGGUGGGGGGUGGAAAGCUUCGGCGGGUUUGGAUGGACUCGCGGCUUAUCAGCUUGUUGGUGGGGUAGUGGCUUACCAAGGCUUUGACGGGUAGCCGGCCUGGGAGGGCGACCGGCCACAUUGGGACUGGGAUACGGCCCAGACUCCUACGGGAGGCAGCAGUGGGGAAUAUUGCACAAAGGGCGGAAGCCUGAUGCAGCAACGCCGCGGGCGGGAUGACGGGCUUCGGGUUGGAAACCGCUUUCAGCAGGGGCGAAGCUUGUGGUGACGGUACCUGCAGAAGAAGCACCGGCUAACUACGUG
Molecule: ribosomal RNA, 465 nt
Filed under: uncultured bacterium
Lineage: Bacteria
Description: partial 16S ribosomal RNA
Rfam family: Bacterial small subunit ribosomal RNA
Source: RNAcentral